GUGGGGAAUAUUGGACAAUGGGCGCAAGCCUGAUCCAGCCAUGCCGCGUGAGUGAUGAAGGCCUUAGGGUUGUAAAGCUCUUUUGUCCGGGAAGAUAAUGACUGUACCGGAAGAAUAAGCCCCGGCUAACUUCGUGCCAGCAGCCGCGGUAAUACGAAGGGGGCUAGCGUUGUUCGGAAUCACUGGGCGUAAAGCGCACGUAGGCGGACCAUUAAGUCAGGGGUGAAAGCCUGGAGCUCAACUCCAGAACUGCCUUUGAUACUGAUGGUCUCGAGUUCGGAAGAGGUUGGUGGAACUGCGAGUGUAGAGGUGAAAUUCGUAGAUAUUCGCAAGAACACCAGUGGCGAAGGCGGCCAACUGGUCCGAUACUGACGCUGAGGUGCGAAAGCGUGGGGAGCAAACAGGAUUAGAAACCCUUGUAGUCC
This 425-nucleotide ribosomal RNA is filed under the name uncultured bacterium. RNAcentral's name for it is "partial 16S ribosomal RNA". It matches the Rfam family "Bacterial small subunit ribosomal RNA", at positions 354 to 796 of the family's 1533-position model. The record is from RNAcentral.